CUCCAUCGGCAGCUUCCUCCCACCUCUAGCCGCCUCGAUCAGUAUUAACGCCAAAGACCCUCCAUCCAAAGCAGGCAAAGGCAGCAAAUUUAUCACAGCCAAGUUCAAAUUCAGCAACGCCGCGAACUGAUACAGUCCGUCCACGUUCGACCUCGCUACCUCAGCCCCGUCCACGUUCGACCUCGCCACCUCCGCACCCACCGCGAUGAUCGCCACCGGCCCGGCAACUUUACUCGCCGUCUGUGAGAAGUUCAUCACCGUCUGCCUCAAACUAUCAACCACAUUAUAACUCAGCCCUGUAAACUCCCUCC
This 311-nucleotide long non-coding RNA is filed under the name Linum usitatissimum (flax). RNAcentral describes it as "long non-coding RNA (LUSI_LNC003239)". Lineage: Eukaryota; Viridiplantae; Streptophyta; Magnoliopsida; Malpighiales; Linaceae. The record is from RNAcentral.